This is a long non-coding RNA of Papaver somniferum (opium poppy), 1152 nucleotides long. RefSeq lists it as uncharacterized. The transcript has 9 exons. Lineage: Eukaryota; Viridiplantae; Streptophyta; Magnoliopsida; Ranunculales; Papaveraceae. The record is from RefSeq and is a predicted model, not a curated record.
CUUCUCUCUAUCCAGCCGCAAAAAGAAGAAGAAGAAGAAGAGAUAGGAGCCGCAUAUGGUGGUGAAGAAAAAUAUACAGGUGCACAAAUGCUCCUAUCAUUAAACUUGAAGAAGUUUAUGCUGUGACUGAGAAACUGUGCCGAUUUGAUAAAGAUGGAAUUAAAUAGAAAGAAAGAGAUACUAAAAGCUGAACAAGCUCCUCUUGAUCUCUGUAUUAUUAUUGCGAGGGAAUACUUCAAACAAGGAAAAAUCGAACAAUUCAAGGAUAUAUUGGGGGAAGGGUCUUCGCCAGAGAUUGAUGAGUACUAUGCUGAUAUGAAAGCGGAGCGCAUUGCUAUAUUGAAUGCACUGGGAGCAUAUUUUAGUUACCAAGGAAAAAUUGAGACUAAGCAAAGAGAAAAAGAUGAGUAAUUAUUUUUGGAAACACAGUAUUAUAAUAGAGCUUUGAGGAUUGACAUACACGAGCCUUCAACUUGGGUUGGUAAAGCUUUUACUGGCCAAGGGUGAAACAGAACAAGCAUCUUCAACGUUUAAGAUUGUGCUGGAAAGAAAUCCUAAGAAUGUGCCUGUCCUUCUUGGUCAGGCAUGUGUUCAGUUCAGCUUUAACCAUUACACAGAGUCUUUGGACUUAUAUAAGAUGGGGAUACGUUGGAGUCUGAUCUUGAUUCCAGCUGUGAAUUGAUGAAUUCAGAUACUUGGAUUGCAGCUGGCUUUGACGAGAAUCAUUUGGGAACUUAAUACUCAAGAAAUGGGGAGAAGGAUUCCAUGUAACAUCAGUGGCAACUGGUGGAAGCCAAUAGGGUGAAGUCAUGUCUUUCAAUGCGGGCUUCAGUGACCAAAUAGUACGAAGGGGGGUCAUUCAGCAGCCCACAUCAAAUGUGUACAGUUAAGCUGGAUCCGCAAAUGGAGGAAAUAGUCGGUGUUAAACUGCUUCGGCUCAGAAUUGUAGCUGCAAUUAGGUAUACAAUUUCCUAGUUACAGAUUAUGUUAACAUUGUAUCUAUUUACUGCUGCCAUGUAGAACAUUGUGUGUCUAAUUUUAUCAUCUUUAUCAUGUCAGUAAGUAAGUUGUGAAACUUGUAAACAUUUCUAUUUUUUACUGUGAUACUUUUAAGUCAACCAUCCAUUAAUGAAUCAUUUUUUUUUCAAUUCA